UACGUAGGUCGCAAGCGUUGUCCGGAUUUACUGGGCGUAAAGAGCGCGCAGGCGGUCGUUCAAGUCGCGUGUGAAAGCCCCCGGCUCAACUGGGGAGGGUCACGCGAUACUGAUCGACUCGAAGGCAGGAGAGGGUAGUGGAAUUCCCGGUGUAGUGGUGAAAUGCGUAGAUAUCGGGAGGAACACCAGUGGCGAAGGCGACUACCUGGCCUGUUCUUGACGCUGAGGCGCGAAAGCUAGGGGAGCAAACGGG
RNAcentral lists this ribosomal RNA (253 nucleotides) under uncultured bacterium. RNAcentral describes it as "partial 16S ribosomal RNA". It matches the Rfam family "Bacterial small subunit ribosomal RNA", at positions 524 to 776 of the family's 1533-position model. The record is from RNAcentral.